AGGUAAUAGAUACCCUGGUAGUCCACGCCGUAAACGAUCAAUACUAGGUGUGCGGGGACUGACCCCCUGCGUGCCGGAGUUAAACACAAAUAGGUAUUGCACCUGGGGAGUACGAUCGCAAGGUUGAAACUCAAAGGAAUUGACGGGGGCCCGCACAAGCGGUGGAUUAUGUGGUUUAAUUCGAAGCAACGCGAAGAACCUUACCAGGGCUUGACAUCCUACUAACGAAGUAGAGAUACAUCAGGUGCCCUUCGGGGAAAGUAGAGACAGGUGGUGCAUGGUUGUCGUCAGCUCGUGUCGUGGGAUGUUGGGUUAAGUCCCGCAACGAGCGCAACCCUUAUUGUUAGUUGCUACGCAAGAGCACUCUAGCAGGACUGCCGUUGACAAAACGGAGGAAGGUGGGGACGACGUCAAAUCAUCAUGCCCCUUAUGACCUGGGCUACACACGUACUACAAUGGUCGUUAACGGAGAGAAGCAAGCCCGCGAGGUGGAGCGAACCCCUAAAACGCCGUCUCAGUUCGGAUUGCA
RNAcentral lists this ribosomal RNA (529 nucleotides) under uncultured bacterium. Its description in RNAcentral is "bacterial SSU rRNA". It matches the Rfam family "Bacterial small subunit ribosomal RNA", at positions 774 to 1302 of the family's 1533-position model. The record is from RNAcentral.